UACGUAGGUGGCAAGCGUUGUUCGGAAUUAUUGGGCGUAAAGGGCGCGUAGGCGGUUUGCUAAGUCAGUUGUGAAAGCCCGGGGCUCAACCCCGGAGGGUCGGCUGAUACUGGUGGACUAGAGUACGGAAGAGGUAGCUGGAAUUCCUGGUGUAGCGGUGAAAUGCGCAGAUAUCAGGAGGAACACCGGUGGCGAAGGCGGGUCUCUGGGCCGAUACUGACGCUGAGGAGCGAAAGCGUGGGGAGCGAACAGG
This 253-nucleotide ribosomal RNA is filed under the name uncultured bacterium. RNAcentral's name for it is "partial 16S ribosomal RNA". It matches the Rfam family "Bacterial small subunit ribosomal RNA", at positions 524 to 776 of the family's 1533-position model. The record is from RNAcentral.